GAUCAUCAUUAAAACAACAAAACCGUAUCCAGAUCGCCUUUGCCUUGUUUUACCUUUUGAUUUCCAUGAAUUGAAAAACAAAAUUCCACUUUAAGAAGAAACAUGACUUAAAACGUCCAAAAUGUGCAAAAUAGUCAGUUCCAGCUCUUCUGUAAAUUCUUACAACUUGGAGUCCAAAGAGAAGCAGCGUUUCUACGGCCCUGUAAUUAUCCAGCCCUGGGGACAGUCUGUCCUCGCUGGCAUUCGGAGUUCACUUCAGCUGCAAUAAUACAGACAAUGAAUGUAGCCCCGGCCACCUCUUUCAUUUUAAUGAAAUCCACACUUCUGGUAUAAAAAUCAAAAAGCAAGACUCAAAGAUGCUCAGAAUCAUCAUGUUUUUCCUAAAGGCAACCACGGGGUCCUGCAUGUGGACUCGCGCUGUGUGCACAUGCUUACGUGGGCGUGCUAACGCGUGCGCACUCGUGUGCAGCUGUGUGUGUACGUGCUUGUUCCCAAUCGAAUGGAAGGAUGUUACCACCAGUGUGCUGUCAGCAGACAAAAUAAAGCCCAGGACAGCAACCGUGCUCACAGAAAUCCUGGAACUGCCACAUCAAGUCUUCGGUGUUCAGGCUGACAAAUGUCUCUGGGUUGGAGGAGCCGGCUGGCUGGCACUGCCUUGUGACCCCAUGCCAUGCCGCCGUAGCCGAGGGUGCACAGGUGAGGCCAUCAGGUGCACAGGAGUUGCGAUGCCAGGUCAGACCCUGGAAACGCAACCAUUUCCCAACCACGAGCCUUCCUGGUAA
Molecule: long non-coding RNA, 782 nt
Filed under: Callithrix jacchus (white-tufted-ear marmoset)
Lineage: Eukaryota; Metazoa; Chordata; Mammalia; Primates; Cebidae
Description: lncRNA (ENSCJAG00000082081.1)
Source: RNAcentral